GCAAUCAUGGCGGAAUUGGCAGACGCGCUAGAUUCAGGUUCUAGUGUCAGCAAUGACAUGGAGGUUCAAAUCCUCUUGACCGCA
Molecule: transfer RNA, 84 nt
Filed under: Paenibacillus sp. D2_2
Lineage: Bacteria; Bacillati; Bacillota; Bacilli; Caryophanales; Paenibacillaceae
Description: tRNA-Leu
Rfam family: tRNA
About the family: Transfer RNA (tRNA) molecules are approximately 80 nucleotides in length.
Source: RNAcentral